AACGAACGCUGGCGGCAUGCCUAACACAUGCCAGUCGAACGAGACCUUCGGGUCUAGUGGCGCACGGGUGCGUAACGCGUGGGAACCUGCCCUUAGGUUCGGAAUAACUCCCCGAAAGGGGUGCUAAUACCGGAUAAUGUCUUCGGACCAAAGAUUUAUCGCCUUUGGAUGGGCCCGCGUUGGAUUAGCUAGUUGGUAGGGUAAAAGCCUACCAAGGCGUCGAUCCAUAGCUGGUCUGAGAGGAUGAUCAGCCACACUGGGACUGAGACACGGCCCAGACUCCUACGGGAGGCAGCAGUGGGGAAUAGUGGACAAUGGGCGAAAGCCUGAUCCAGCAAUGCCGCGUGAGUGAUGAAGGCCUUAGGGUUGUAAAGCUCUUUUACCCGGGAUGAUAAUGACAGUACCGGGAGAAUAAGCUCCGGCUAACUCCGUG
RNAcentral lists this ribosomal RNA (433 nucleotides) under uncultured bacterium. Its description in RNAcentral is "partial 16S ribosomal RNA". It matches the Rfam family "Bacterial small subunit ribosomal RNA", at positions 29 to 507 of the family's 1533-position model. The record is from RNAcentral.